This 433-nucleotide ribosomal RNA is filed under the name uncultured bacterium. Its description in RNAcentral is "partial 16S ribosomal RNA". It matches the Rfam family "Bacterial small subunit ribosomal RNA", at positions 29 to 507 of the family's 1533-position model. The record is from RNAcentral.
AACGAACGCUGGCGGCAUGCCUAACACAUGCAAGUCGAACGAGACCUUCGGGUCUAGUGGCGCACGGGUGCGUAACACGGGGGAACCUGCCCUUAGGUUCGGAAUAACUCCCCGAAAGGGGUGCUAAUACCGGUUAAUGUAUUCGGACCAAAGAUUUAUCGCCUUUGGAUGGGCCCGCGUUGGUUUAGCGAGUUGGUAGGGUAAAAGCCUACCAAGGCGACGAUCCAUAGCUGGUCUGAGAGGAUGAUCAGCCACACUUGGACUGAGACACGGCCCAGACUCCUACGGGAGGGAGCAGUGGGGAAUAUUGGACGAUGGGCGAAAGCCUGAUCCAGCAAUGCCGCGUGAGUGAUGAAGGCCUUAGGGUUGUAAAGCUCUUUGACCCGGGAUGAUAAUGACAGUACCGGGUGAAUAAGCACCGGCUAACUCCGUG